Eptesicus fuscus (big brown bat) is the source of this 469-nucleotide long non-coding RNA. RefSeq lists it as uncharacterized. The transcript has 2 exons. Lineage: Eukaryota; Metazoa; Chordata; Mammalia; Chiroptera; Vespertilionidae. The record is from RefSeq and is a predicted model, not a curated record.
GCACGUGCUCCUGUGCAGUCCAUCCGGAAGGAGCUAGAGCCCCAUCUCUGCGAUGCUCCUCACAGCGCACACCAGAGCUUUACCGUGUCACCGAAGACUCCGCUCCGGCAUCUGGAGCGAGGCAGACUGUGUCGGCUCCACGGGAAUAGCCUUGGCUGCACGUCUAGCUUCCCACCACAGGAGGACAAAGACCAGAAAAACUUGCUGGACACCAGGAAUCAGACCAGAAAGAAAUUGUCCUAAAGACAUCUGAUUGCACACCCGCAGUCCAUCUGCAUUCUAAGCCCACUAACUCGGCCUCCAGACCCACUGAUGACAAGAGCUUCCCGCCAGUGACUACAUAUAUGGACGAAACUCCAGCUUCUGGAUGCUGCCAUCAUCUACCCAAUGUCUCCUGGUGGGGCAGCCCUUCCCUUCGGAUACUCCACGCCCCAUCCCCUUUCCUUAAAUAAAUUCAGUUUUCUUUCAA